GUUUAGCUCAGUUGGGAGAGCAUCUGCCUUACAAGCAGAGGGUCAGCGGUUCGAGCCCGUUAACCUCCACCA
Molecule: transfer RNA, 72 nt
Filed under: Erysipelotrichaceae bacterium
Lineage: Bacteria; Bacillati; Bacillota; Erysipelotrichia; Erysipelotrichales; Erysipelotrichaceae
Description: tRNA-Val
Rfam family: tRNA
About the family: Transfer RNA (tRNA) molecules are approximately 80 nucleotides in length. Their secondary structure includes four short double-helical elements and three loops (D, anti-codon, and T loops). Further hydrogen bonds mediate the characteristic L-shaped molecular structure. tRNAs have two regions of fundamental functional importance: the anti-codon, which is responsible for specific mRNA codon recognition, and the 3' end, to which the tRNAs corresponding amino acid is attached (by aminoacyl-tRNA synthetases). tRNAs cope with the degeneracy of the genetic code in two manners: having more than one tRNA (with a specific anti-codon) for a particular amino acid; and 'wobble' base-pairing, i.e. permitting non-standard base-pairing at the 3rd anti-codon position.
Source: RNAcentral